This 1039-nucleotide ribosomal RNA is filed under the name uncultured Burkholderia sp. Its description in RNAcentral is "bacterial SSU rRNA". It matches the Rfam family "Bacterial small subunit ribosomal RNA", at positions 351 to 1388 of the family's 1533-position model. Lineage: Bacteria; Pseudomonadati; Pseudomonadota; Betaproteobacteria; Burkholderiales; Burkholderiaceae. The record is from RNAcentral.
GCAGUGGGGAAUUUUGGACAAUGGGCGAAAGCCUGAUCCAGCAAUGCCGCGUGUGUGAAGAAGGCCUUCGGGUUGUAAAGCACUUUUGUCCGGAAAGAAAUCCUUGGCUCUAAUACAGUCGGGGGAUGACGGUACCGGAAGAAUAAGCACCGGCUAACUACGUGCCAGCAGCCGCGGUAAUACGUAGGGUGCGAGCGUUAAUCGGAAUUACUGGGCGUAAAGCGUGCGCAGGCGGUUUGCUAAGACCGAUGUGAAAUCCCCGGGCUCAACCUGGGAACUGCAUUGGUGACUGGCAGGCUAGAGUAUGGCAGAGGGGGGUAGAAUUCCACGUGUAGCAGUGAAAUGCGUAGAGAUGUGGAGGAAUACCGAUGGCGAAGGCAGCCCCCUGGGCCAAUACUGACGCUCAUGCACGAAAGCGUGGGGAGCAAACAGGAUUAGAUACCCUGGUAGUCCACGCCCUAAACGAUGUCAACUAGUUGUUGGGGAUUCAUUUCCUUAGUAACGUAGCUAACGCGUGAAGUUGACCGCCUGGGGAGUACGGUCGCAAGAUUAAAACUCAAAGGAAUUGACGGGGACCCGCACAAGCGGUGGAUGAUGUGGAUUGAUUCGAUGCAACGCGAAAAACCUUACCUACCCUUGACAUGGUCGGAAUCCCGCUGAGAGGUGGGAGUGCUCGAAAGAGAACCGGCGCACAGGUGCUGCAUGGCUGUCGUCAGCUCGUGUCGUGAGAUGUUGGGUUAAGUCCCGCAACGAGCGCAACCCUUGUCCUUAGUUGCUACGCAAGAGCACUCUAAGGAGACUGCCGGUGACAAACCGGAGGAAGGUGGGGAUGACGUCAAGUCCUCAUGGCCCUUAUGGGUAGGGCUUCACACGUCAUACAAUGGUCGGAACAGAGGGUUGCCAACCCGCGAGGGGGAGCUAAUCCCAGAAAACCGAUCGUAGUCCGGAUUGCACUCUGCAACUCGAGUGCAUGAAGCUGGAAUCGCUAGUAAUCGCGGAUCAGCUUGCCGCGGUGAAUACGUUCCCGGGCCUUGUACAC